This 707-nucleotide ribosomal RNA is filed under the name Bacillus vallismortis. Its description in RNAcentral is "bacterial SSU rRNA". It matches the Rfam family "Bacterial small subunit ribosomal RNA", at positions 79 to 771 of the family's 1533-position model. The record is from RNAcentral. Lineage: Bacteria; Bacillati; Bacillota; Bacilli; Caryophanales; Bacillaceae.
UUGCUCCCUGAUGUUAGCGGCGGACGGGUGAGUAACACGUGGGUAACCUGCCUGUAAGACUGGGAUAACUCCGGGAAACCGGGGCUAAUACCGGAUGCUUGUUUGAACCGCAUGGUUCAAACAUAAAAGGUGGCUUCGGCUACCACUUACAGAUGGACCCGCGGCGCAUUAGCUAGUUGGUGAGGUAAUGGCUCACCAAGGCAACGAUGCGUAGCCGACCUGAGAGGGUGAUCGGCCACACUGGGACUGAGACACGGCCCAGACUCCUACGGGAGGCAGCAGUAGGGAAUCUUCCGCAAUGGACGAAAGUCUGACGGAGCAACGCCGCGUGAGUGAUGAAGGUUUUCGGAUCGUAAAGCUCUGUUGUUAGGGAAGAACAAGUGCCGUUCNAAUAGGGCGGCACCUUGACGGUACCUAACCAGAAAGCCACGGCUAACUACGUGCCAGCAGCCGCGGUAAUACGUAGGUGGCAAGCGUUGUCCGGAAUUAUUGGGCGUAAAGGGCUCGCAGGCGGUUUCUUAAGUCUGAUGUGAAAGCCCCCGGCUCAACCGGGGAGGGUCAUUGGAAACUGGGGAACUUGAGUGCAGAAGAGGAGAGUGGAAUUCCACGUGUAGCGGUGAAAUGCGUAGAGAUGUGGAGGAACACCAGUGGCGAANGCGACUCUCUGGUCUGUAACUGACGCUGANGAGCGAAAGCGUGGGGAGCGA